Molecule: ribosomal RNA, 373 nt
Filed under: uncultured microorganism
Description: bacterial SSU rRNA
Rfam family: Archaeal small subunit ribosomal RNA
Source: RNAcentral
GUGCAGCAGUCGCGAAACCUUCGCAAUGCGGGAAACCGCGACGAGGGACUCCCAGUGCCUACGCUCAGCGUAGGCUGUUCCCGAGCCUAGAAAGCUCGGGGAGUAAGGGCUGGGUAAGACGGGUGCCAGCCGCCGCGGUAAUACCCGCAGCCCGAGUGGUGGCCACUAUUAUUGGGCCUAAAGCGUCCGUAGCCGGCCCGGUAAAUGCCUGGGUAAAUCGUGAGGCCUAACCUCACGAAUUCCGGGUAGACUGCCGGGCUAGGGACCCGGAGGAGGGAGAGGGUACUCCAGGGGGUAGGGGUGAAAGUCCUGUAAUCCCUGGAGGACCACCGGUGGCGAAGGCGCUCUCCUAGGACGGGUCCGACGGUGAGGG